AGCUCCAAGAGCGUAUAUUAAAGUUGUUGCAGUUAAAAAGUUCGUAGUUGGAUUUCUGGUACAACGCGCCUGGCCCGCUUUUGUGAGUGCCGGUGCGCGUUUGCCAUCCUUCUAGAAAACGUUUCUACCCGGGUAACUGGGCCGGACUCGCGAUCUAGAUCUUUUACUUUGAAAAAAUUAGAGUGUUUAAAGCAGGCCUUUGCUGUGAAUACAUUAGCAUGGAAUAAUAAUCUAGGACUUCGGUUCUAUUUUGUUGGUUUCUAGUACUGAAGUAAUGAUUGAUAGGGAUAGUUGGGGGUGCUAGUAUUGGCCGGCCAGAGGUGAAAUUCUUGGAUUCGGUCAAGACUAACUUAUGCGAAAGCAUUCACCAAGGAUGUCUUCUUUAAUCAAGAACGAAAGU
This 400-nucleotide ribosomal RNA is filed under the name phytoplankton environmental sample. RNAcentral describes it as "partial small subunit ribosomal RNA". It matches the Rfam family "Eukaryotic small subunit ribosomal RNA", at positions 587 to 990 of the family's 1831-position model. The record is from RNAcentral.